This 250-nucleotide ribosomal RNA is filed under the name uncultured bacterium. Its description in RNAcentral is "partial 16S ribosomal RNA". It matches the Rfam family "Bacterial small subunit ribosomal RNA", at positions 524 to 774 of the family's 1533-position model. The record is from RNAcentral.
UACGGAUGGGGCGAGCGUUGUUCGGAAUCAUUGGGCGUAAAGGGAGCGUAGGCGGCGCGUUAAGCGGGAUUUUUCAACACUCGGCUUACCCGAGUGAGCGAUCCCGAACUGAUGCGCUGGAGUCCGCUAGAGGUCACUGGAAUUCCGGGUGUAGGGGUGAAAUCUAUAGAGAUCCGGAGGAACACCGAUGGCGAAGGCAGGUGACUGGGGCUGGACUGACGCUGAGGCUCGAAAGCCAGGGGAGCAAACG